AAAGUUUUUCGGCUGGGGAUGGGCUCGCGGCCUAUCAGCUUGUUGGUGGGGUAAUGGCCUACCAAGGCGACGACGGGUAGCCGGCCUGAGAGGGCGACCGGCCACACUGGGACUGAGACACGGCCCAGACUCCUACGGGAGGCAGCAGUGGGGAAUAUUGCACAAUGGGCGAAAGCCUGAUGCAGCGACGCCGCGUGAGGGAUGACGGCCUUCGGGUUGUAAACCUCUUUCAGCUCCGAAGAAGCGAAAGUGACGGUACGAGCAGAAGAAGCACCGGCUAACUACGUGCCAGCAGCCGCGGUAAUACGUAGGGUGCAAGCGUUGUCCGGAAUUAUUGGGCGUAAAGAGCUCGUAGGCGGUGUGUCGCGUCUGCUGUGAAAACUCAGGGCUCAACUCUGAGCUUGCAGUGGGUACGGGCACACUUGAGUGCUGUAGGGGAGACUGGAAUUCCUGGUGUAGCGGUGAAAUGCGCAGAUAUCAGGAGGAACACCGGUGGCGAAGGCGGGUCUCUGGGCAGUUACUGACGCUGAGGAGCGAAAGCAUGGGGAGCGAACAGGAUUAGAUACCCUGGUAGUCCAUGCCGUAAACGUUGGGCGCUAGGUGUGGGGUCCAUUCCACGGAUUCCGUGCCGCAGCUAACGCAUUAAGCGCCCCGCCUGGGGAGUACGGCCGCAAGGCUAAAACUCAAAGGAAUUGACGGGGGCCCGCACAAGCGGCGGAGCAUGCGGAUUAAUUCGAUGCAACGCGAAGAACCUUACCAAGGCUUGACAUGCGCGGUGGAAUCCCAGAGAUGGGGUGUCAUUUAGUUGGUCGCGUACAGGUGGUGCAUGGUUGUCGUCAGCUCGUGUCGUGAGAUGUUGGGUUAAGUCCCGCAACGAGCGCAACCCUCGUUCCAUGUUGCCAGCACGUUAUGGUGGGGACUCAUGGGAGACUGCCGGGGUCAACUCGGAGGAAGGUGGGGAUGACGUCAAAUCAUCAUGCCCCUUAUGUCUUGGGCUUCACGCAUGCUACAAUGGCCAGUACAGAGGGCUGCGAUACCGUGAGGUGGAGCGAAUCCCAAAAAGCUGGUCUCAGUUCGGAUCGGGGUCUGCAACUCGACCCCGUGAAGUCGGAGUCGCUAGUAAUCGCAGAUCAGCAACGCUGCGGUGAAUACGUUCCCGGGCCUUGUACACA
Molecule: ribosomal RNA, 1172 nt
Filed under: Kineococcus sp. BMG5727
Lineage: Bacteria; Bacillati; Actinomycetota; Actinomycetes; Kineosporiales; Kineosporiaceae
Description: bacterial SSU rRNA
Rfam family: Bacterial small subunit ribosomal RNA
Source: RNAcentral